This 474-nucleotide ribosomal RNA is filed under the name uncultured bacterium. RNAcentral describes it as "partial 16S ribosomal RNA". The stretch from base 20 to 302 matches the Rfam family "Bacterial small subunit ribosomal RNA", at positions 47 to 358 of the family's 1533-position model. The record is from RNAcentral.
AACGAACGCUGGCGGCAGGCCUAACACAUGCAAGUCGAGCGCGCCCUUCGGGGUGAGCGGCGGACGGGUGAGUAACGCGUGGGAACGUGCCCUUCUCUGCGGAAUAGCCUCGGGAAACUGAGAGUAAUACCGCAUACGCCCUUUGGGGGAAAGAUUUAUCGGAGAAGGAUCGGCCCGCGUUGGAUUAGGUAGUUGGUGGGGUAAUGGCCCACCAAGCCGACGAUCCAUAGCUGGUUUGAGAGGAUGAUCAGCCACACUGGGACUGAGACACGGCCCAGACGAGGAGAGGAGGAAACAGGGGGAAAGGGAAGAGAAGGGGAGCAACGCUGGUAGAGCAGGGUGGGGUGAGUGAUGAAGGCCUGAGGGAGGUAGGGGUAAAUGAGAUGGGAAAAAAACAACGGAACGAGCAGAAGAAGCCGAGGCAAACGCCGUGAGAGCAGACGGGGGAAGAAGCGGAAGAGAACAGGUAGGAAC